UACAGAGGUCUCAAGCGUUGUUCGGAUUCAUUGGGCGUAAAGGGCGCGUAGGCGGUUUGACAAGUCUGAUGUGAAAUCUCUGGGCUCAACCCAGAGUCUGCAUUAGAAACUGUCGGGCUUGAGUAUGGGAGAGGUGAGUGGAAUUUCCGGUGUAGCGGUGAAAUGCGUAGAUAUCGGAAGGAACACCUGUGGCGAAAGCGGCUCACUGGACCAUAACUGACGCUGAGGCGCGAAAGCUAGGGGAGCAAACAGG
Molecule: ribosomal RNA, 253 nt
Filed under: uncultured bacterium
Lineage: Bacteria
Description: partial 16S ribosomal RNA
Rfam family: Bacterial small subunit ribosomal RNA
Source: RNAcentral